CCUACGGGUGGCAGCAGUGAGGAAUAUUGGUCAAUGGCCGUAAGGCUGAACCAGCCAAGUAGCGUGAGGGAAGACUGCCCUAUGGGUUGUAAACCUCUUUUAUGCGGGGAUAAAGGUGUCCACGUGUGGAUGUUUGCAGGUACCGCAUGGAUAAGGACCGGCUAAUUCCGUGCCAGCAGCCGCGGUAAUACGGAAGGUCCGGGCGUUAUCCGGAUUUAUUGGGUUUAAAGGGAGCGUAGGCCGGUCUUUAAGCGUACCGGUAAAUUUUGUGGGCCAACCAUGAGUGUGCCGCGGGAACUGGGGACCUUGAGUGCGCGGGAGGCAGGCGGAAUUCGUGGUGUAGCGGUGAAAUGCUUAGAUAUCACGAAGAACCCCGAUUGCGAAGGCAGCCUGCCGCAGCGUUACUGACGCUGAAGCACGAAAGCGCGGGUAUCGAACAGGAUUAGAUACCCUUGUAGUC
RNAcentral lists this ribosomal RNA (460 nucleotides) under uncultured bacterium. Its description in RNAcentral is "partial 16S ribosomal RNA". It matches the Rfam family "Bacterial small subunit ribosomal RNA", at positions 338 to 795 of the family's 1533-position model. The record is from RNAcentral.